This 463-nucleotide ribosomal RNA is filed under the name uncultured bacterium. RNAcentral's name for it is "partial 16S ribosomal RNA". It matches the Rfam family "Bacterial small subunit ribosomal RNA", at positions 28 to 507 of the family's 1533-position model. The record is from RNAcentral.
GACGAACGCUGGCGGCGUGCUUAACACAUGCAAGUCGAACGGAAAGGCCUUUUCGUAGGUACUCUAGUGGCGCACGGGUGAGUAACACGUGGGUGAUCUUCCCUGCACUCUGGGAUAAGCCUGGGAAACUGGGUCUAAUACCGGAUAGGACCGCACUUUAGUGUGUGUGGUGGAAAGUUUUUUCGGUGUAGGAUGAGCCCGCUGCCUAUCAGCUUGUUGGUGGGGUAAUGGCCUACCAAGGCAGCGACGGGUAGCCGGACAGAGAGGUGGGUCGGCAACAUUGGGACUGAGAUACGGCCCAGAAGCCUACGGGAGGCAGCAGUGGGGAAGAUUGCACAAUGGGCGCAAGCCUGAUGCAGCGAAGCCGCGUGGGGGAUGACGGCCUUCGGGUUGUAAACUACUUUCGCCAGGGACGAAGCGUUUUGUGACGGUACCUGGAGAAGAAGCACCGGCUAACUACGUG